CCACAGUGAGUCUCCACUCAGGAAAAGAGACUGCAGCCAAUGUGGCAGCGAUCAAUCACAGCAGUCAACAACCGCCACUCUGUCAAGCUAAUUUUCAACUAAUCCAUUCAUCCUCAACAUCUUCCAGCUGCAUGAUCAAGAAGCCAUGGACACGGGGUGGCUUAAUGCUGUGUUCAAACCUGGGUCCUCAAAGGGAUGGACAUUUUCUUCAUCUUCUCCUUCCUCUCCUCGUCCCCCUCCUCCUCACACACGUCAGCUGCAGGAUAAUCCUACAAAAUCCAGCAAGCCGCACAGAAGGGACUGAAGAAGCAGGAAAAGUGGGAACGCGGAAGGGCAAGAAUCCAGCCAGACCCGCUGAGGAACUCGAAGCGCCACUGGAGGCCACUCGGCUGUGACGCAAGUGGACUGGCCUGCGGCUUCGUCUGCCCGUCCCCGCCUCGAGUUGCUGACCUAUUCCUCUUUUUCUCACUCCAACCAAAAUGUUUAAUGAUGAUUUUUUAUUGGGGUACAAUCAACAUCUGAAAAGCUGUCCAUGUUUAACGGGUGCCUCUCAACUAGCUUGGGGAUGAUUAUACACCGUGAGCUAAAUUGUCACCCCCAAGGCCAGGGAUCAUCUGGUCUACCAUCCCGUUUCCGCCUGCUCCUGCCCCUUCGUUGUUAUUGUUAUUGUUAGCAUCAUCUUUGGGGGAAGAAUAAAACCUACUGCAGGACAA
Non-coding RNA from Ictidomys tridecemlineatus (thirteen-lined ground squirrel), 713 nucleotides. The record is from RefSeq and is a predicted model, not a curated record. NCBI's taxonomy places the organism in Eukaryota, Metazoa, Chordata, Mammalia, Rodentia, Sciuridae.